Molecule: long non-coding RNA, 695 nt
Organism: Tigriopus californicus
Lineage: Eukaryota; Metazoa; Arthropoda; Copepoda; Harpacticoida; Harpacticidae
Exons: 2
Source: RefSeq, a predicted model, not a curated record
AAAACAGACGGCGGACCCCAAUUUGCCUCCGUCGAAUUUCUAGAUUUCUGCCGAUCGGACGCUAUCCAACCCGUUGUCAGUUCGGCAUAUUAUCCUCAACUCAAUGGACAUGACGAUGCAACUGUCAAAAUGUUAAAGGGUUUGGUCAAGAAGCAUUGCGUGAACAACCGAAUUGAUCAAGAUGCUUUUGAUGCAGCUCUUCUAGAGUGUAGAAAUGUUCCACGGGAGGAUGGUUUAUCUCCUACUCAAUGGCUCUUUUGCCGUGGAUUGCGCACCCACAUCCUUACUCAUCAUUUGAACUAUGAGAUAGUGGGGCAGAGUGAGCGUGAUCGUGCUUUGGAGAAGAGACGUUUGAGCAUCUUGGAGAUCAAAAUUGAUAUGACCAAAGUUCUCGAGUCCAGAAAGGAUUAUGUGUUGGCCAAGAAGUGAGGAUUAAAGAUCCUCAUUCUAAGAUGAGGUAUCGGAUUGGUGUUAUCCUACAGUCCGAUAUAAUGGUCGGUCGUAUGUGAUUGAUUAUAAGACUGGCGGAGAAUCGGCCAUAGAAGAACCCGGGAUCACAUCUCAACUCAUGGAGCCAAGAAGAAGUUCUCGAAAAAGGAAGAAGAAGAUUGGCCGUGUUCAAGUUUAGGUUUGUUCAAUCUCAAUUUUCUCCUCCUCAUCACUGCACUUGAUUAUAAAACUCCAGUUUCCUUUAA